AACGAACGCUGGCGGCAUGCCUAACACAUGCAAGUCGAACGAGACCUUCGGGUCUAGUGGCGCACGGGUGCGUAACGCGUGGGAAUCUGCCCUUAGGUACGGAAUAACUCAGGGAAACUUGAGCUAAUACCGUAUAAUGACUCCGGUCCAAAGAUUUAUCGCCUAAGGAUGAGCCCGCGUCGGAUUAGCUAGUUGGUGAGGUAAAAGCUCACCAAGGCGACGAUCCGUAGCUGGCUGAGAGGAUGAUCAGCCACACUGGGACUGAGACACGGCCCAGACUCCUACGGGAGGCAGCAGUGGGGAAUAUUGGACAAUGGGCGAAAGCCUGAUCCAGCAAUGCCGCGUGAGUGAUGAAGGCCUUAGGGUUGUAAAGCUCUUUUACCCGGGAUGAUAAUGACAGUACCGGGAGAAUAAGCCCCGGCUAACUUCGUGCCAGCAGCCGCAGUAAG
RNAcentral lists this ribosomal RNA (449 nucleotides) under uncultured bacterium. Its description in RNAcentral is "bacterial SSU rRNA". It matches the Rfam family "Bacterial small subunit ribosomal RNA", at positions 29 to 524 of the family's 1533-position model. The record is from RNAcentral.